AUGCCUUCUGUUGACGAAUGGGACGCGUGAUUCCCCGCCAGCAGGAUAAUCAUCGCGCUGGCGGUACAGAUGAUAAUGGUGUCGCUGAAUACGCCAAUCAUUUGCACAA
RNAcentral lists this small RNA (109 nucleotides) under Salmonella enterica subsp. enterica serovar Typhi. RNAcentral describes it as "StyR-295". Lineage: Bacteria; Pseudomonadati; Pseudomonadota; Gammaproteobacteria; Enterobacterales; Enterobacteriaceae. The record is from RNAcentral.